ACACCUCAACUCUCAUGGUUUCCCAUGAUGAGCUUGGACUUGGGAGCUUUGUUGGCCCGUGGUCAGCUCUCCUCAAAUGAAUUAGCUUGCCGGUGUUUGGCAGCGCCAUGGGUGUGAUAACUUAUCUACGCUUGUGACCGCCUGCUAGGUUUCCUCUGAUCGCAGAGGUUCGCCGGAGCUUAUAAACGUCUCUCCUCAGCAGAGACAGCUGUUUGAA
This 217-nucleotide unclassified non-coding RNA is filed under the name uncultured Thelephoraceae. RNAcentral's name for it is "sequence contains ITS2". Lineage: Eukaryota; Fungi; Basidiomycota; Agaricomycetes; Thelephorales; Thelephoraceae. The record is from RNAcentral.